GGAGUGGAACUGACCCCACCCGUGACUUUCCGGCUGCGAAGCGGCUCCGGUCCCGUCUAUGUCAGCGGCCAGCACGUGUCCCGUGAGUGUCCCCUGAGUGUCCCCAACUCCCCUCGGGUGUCCCGUGAGUGUCCCCUGAGUGUCCCCAACUCCCCUUGAGUGUCCCGUGAGUGUCCCCUGAGUGUCCCCAACCCUCCCCCGAGUGUCCUGUGAGUCUCCCCCGAGUGUCCCUGUCCCUCCUCGGGUGUCCCCUGAGUGUCCCCCGAGUGUCCCCAACCCUCCCCCGAGUGUCCUGUGAGUCUCCCCGUUCCCCCUCGGGUGUCCCCGAGGUCCGGGGGCUCAGCCGGGCUCUCCCGCCCGCAGUGACAAACUUCAGCUCGGAGGAUGAGGAAGAGGAAGUAGUAGAGGAGACCCCCGAGAAGCCCCCCAAGGCCUCGAGUGCCCGGAAAGGCGGCGCUGCCAAGAAAAGGAAGCUGGAAAAGGAGGAUGAGCUCAGGAACAGCCUGGCCCGUGAGGAUCCCCUUCCCCCCAAGGGGCGCGGGGCCGGCCGGGGAAGGAAAGCAGCACCGAAGAAAUAAUGGGAAUUCCAUCGGAACCGGGCCAGGUGAGCAUUGGCAUGAGCAAUCCCGGAGCUCGGAGAGCCCUGGGGGGCGGCUCCGUCCCCACCGCGGGUUCUCCAGGCCUUCCCUGCGGGUAAAUCCCAUUUUUCCCUCCUUCCCUUCCAGGUGCGGCCGAGGCUGGAGCAGCAGCAGCAGCCGGUGGUGGUGGUGGUGUGGUUCCCAAAUAAAGCACAUUUUGCACUCCUGGCUCCCCGCGCUGCUGCCGGGGGGGAUUUGGGGGCACCCCCCACCCCGGCUGGAGCUGCUGCCCUGGAUUUGGGGGGGCCAGCGCUGCCCCCCGGCCGUGGGGUGCCGUGAGAAGGGC
RNAcentral lists this long non-coding RNA (924 nucleotides) under Cyanistes caeruleus (blue tit). RNAcentral's name for it is "lncRNA (ENSCCEG00000001615.1)". The record is from RNAcentral. Lineage: Eukaryota; Metazoa; Chordata; Aves; Passeriformes; Paridae.